This 149-nucleotide ribosomal RNA is filed under the name Cinnamomum osmophloeum. RNAcentral describes it as "5.8S ribosomal RNA". It matches the Rfam family "5.8S ribosomal RNA". From Rfam's summary of the family: 5.8S ribosomal RNA (5.8S rRNA) is a component of the large subunit of the eukaryotic ribosome. It is transcribed by RNA polymerase I as part of the 45S precursor that also contains 18S and 28S rRNA. Functionally, it is thought that 5.8S rRNA may be involved in ribosome translocation. The record is from RNAcentral. Lineage: Eukaryota; Viridiplantae; Streptophyta; Magnoliopsida; Laurales; Lauraceae.
CGAGUCUCGGCAACGGAUAUCUUGGCUCUCGCAUUAAUGAAGAACGUAGCGAAAUGCGAUACUUGGUGUGAAUUGCAGAAUCCCGUGAACCAUCGACUCUUUGAACGCAAGUUGCGCCCGACUCCACUCGGCCGAGGGCAUGCUUGCCU